Molecule: long non-coding RNA, 7012 nt
Filed under: Panax ginseng (ginseng)
Lineage: Eukaryota; Viridiplantae; Streptophyta; Magnoliopsida; Apiales; Araliaceae
Description: long non-coding RNA (PGIN_LNC017506)
Source: RNAcentral
CUCGAGAUUGACCCCAACAACGAAGCCCUAAAAGCCGGCCUUUCAGAUGCACAAGCGUUUGGGCCGGAGAUGUGGGUCAAGCUUUCCUCCGACCGGUCAACUAGGGGUUAUAUCCAGCAGCCAGGUUUUUUUAAUAUGAUGAAGGACCUUCAGAAAAACCCUAGCAAUUUGAAUCUUUAUUUGAAGGAUCCGAGGGUUAUGCAGGCUCUUGGAGUUUUGCUUAACAUUAAUCUUCAAGCACAGUCUCCGGAAGAUAUGGAGAUGCCUGAUGUUCCGCCGGAGAGGAAGAGGCCUGCUGGAGAGGAGCAGCCGGUGAAGGUGAAGAAGCGAAAGCCUGAACCGGUGCCCGAGGAAAUUGAAGUUUCGGUGGAGAAGGAAAUUAAAGAGAGAAAGGUACAGGCGCAAAAAGAGAAGGAAGCCGGGAAUGCGGCUUAUAAGAAAAAGGAUUUUGAGACUGCUAUUAAGCAUUAUACUGCAGCCAUUGAAUUGGAUGAUACUGAUAUUUCCUUUCUCACUAACCGGGCUGCUAUGUAUCUUGAAAUGGGCAAGGUAAUUAUUAGUAUUUAAAUUUAAUCUUUGGCAAUUAAAAUACUGGAAAGCUCAUAUCUUUUCUGCAAUCUAAUGUUUUAUGUGUGAUUUGUUAUGUUUGAAUUGGUGCUUAGUUAAUUCUUCAUAUUGCUAUUCGUGCUAGAAACAAUAUGGUGUAAGAUUACAAUGCUUCUAAAGAUACGAUGUUUUAAUUUGCAUGCUAUAUUUAUGAUGGACUUAAGUAUGGUUUUGUUAUGUUCGACUGUUAUACUAUAUUGAGAAAGUUAUCUAAUUAGGGUGCAGGUGUUUGUGUUAAGUGUAAUUUUCUCUUAUUUUGUUUGAUGUUUUUCACUUGUGUUUUCAUGACUGAUUUGGACGGGCUAGAACCUGUUUAUUUUCUACAGUCCUCUUGAUGACAAAAAGAAAGCCAGUGAAAAUAAGAUGAAUUUUUUGUUUAUUUUUUACUCCCUCUAUUUCAAAAAGGAUUCCAUUUGGCUUUGGUUCCUAGUUAAUUUACGAAAUUCGAAUUUUUAUUUAAUUUUCUAAUUAACAAUUUUGCAUUUAGUAUUACUCUUUUAAGUAUUUGAAACUAUUAACUAUUUUAUUAAUCAAAACGAAGUAAAUUAACAGUUUUGGAAUCUAAAGAUUUCACAAACUGACUAGGAAAAAAAAUUAAAUCUAUUUUUUUUCCAGAGCUGAGGGAGUAUACAUGUUAGUUGUAAUUAUUCUAUAAUUGUAGUGGGUAGUAAUUAGUGAAUAAUAAAGUUCUUUGAAGUACUCUAGGUAUAUGUUUUGCCUUGUAAUUGUUUAGGGAACUGCAGCAACUCUUUUUGUAGUAGUGAGUUGUACUUGGACCAGUAUUAGAUUUUAUGUAGUCUCCAAGACUCGGUGUUUACUAUACAAGUAUUGUAAGUUUAUAAGAGUAAUUCCAGCAGGCCGGAGCUGCGUGAAUCCUAGACUAUAUUUAGUCUAGUAUUGAAAUUUUGCUCCAGCAGAUGGAGUAAAUUUAGUCGGGACAUUUUUCUGGCAAGCUAAAUUGACUAAAUCAGCGAACCGAAAUCUGGUGGACUAUAAUUUAUAUUAUAUUUAAAUUGAAGGCUCGGUUGGAGAAAAAAACAGAGAAGGAGAAGAAGGGAGGUUGAAAAAGAGAUGAAGGAGAAGGAGGAGUUCACAGAUGAAGGAGACGAAGGGGGAGGGGCAACAAAUAGAUCUGAAAAUUCAGAACAGUAAUAAAAAAGAAAUCAACGAUAAUAAAAAGUUAUCAGAACGGUAAGAAAAAGAAAUCAAUGGAUAGAAAAGGAAAAUCUAUAAAUAUGUACCAUUAUUCAACACAUUUUACCAUCUCUCAAUCAAUUACUUCAACAUUUAGCAAUUAUAAGUAUUUUGUUAAUUAUUGUAUUUUUAUUAUAUUUAAUUUUAGUUUUAUUGAUAAUAUCUUUUUAAUUUAUUUUUUAGAUGAAAAACAUGGUCUUCCGAUGUAUUAUUCUUCAUUAUUAUCUGAAGGUUUCUCACUUGAUGAUCCAAAUUUGUUAGAUGAAUUUCUAAUUCAAACUGAUGCAGACUUUCGAAAAUGAGUCCAAUAAAAGAACAUGGCGAAAGGAAAAUUAUACAAUUGAUGAUGAUACCCUUCUUGUUUCCGCAUGGCUUAAUGUAAGCAUGGAUCCAAUUCAAGGAAACGAUAAGAAACAUGGAAGAUAUUGGGAAAGAGUUCACGAAUACUUUCAUGAAUACAAAAAUUUUGAGUCUGAACACAAUUCUACUGCUUUGGCAAAACGUUGGUCAACAAUUCAACUCGCGGUGAACAAAUUUUGUGGAUAUUAUGCUUCAAUUGAAAGAAUGCAACAAAGUGGUGUAGGUAAACAAGAUAAGGUAUUUCAAUUUUAAGUUGUAAAAUUUCAUUAAGUUUAUUCUUAUAUUUUAUACUUAAUACUUUGUAAAUAAUUUUAAAAAUAGAUAUGUCAAGUAUUAGAGAUGUUCAAAAGUAUCCAAAACCAACCAUUUAGAUUUAUGCAUUGUUGGAGAAUAUUAAAGGAUGCACUGAAAUGGAGAACAAAUAAUAGUGGAAAAAAACAAAAAAGUACAAGAAAGUCAAGUCCAGCAGCAUCUUCUCCAUCAACCGUCGAAGAAGUAAAUUUGAGUGAAGAUGAUGAUAUUGAAGAUACAAUCUCUGCAGGAUUAGAGAGGCCAAUGGGAAGAAAGGCUUCGAAAGCAUUAUUUAAGAAGGGCAAAGGAACCGGUGAUACUACUACACCUAUGGAAUUGAGGUUUGAGAAGUUCGAGCAUCAAAUGAAAUUGAACCAACAACAGAGACGAGAACAUGGACAAAAUAUAUUUUCAAGAGCAAGAGAAGUUGAAUAUAAUGAAAGCACAAGAGGAUGAAAGGAUCAUGAUGAUUGACACCGCUAACAUGGAGCCUGAAGUAGCUGAAUAUUACAAACAACGCAAGAAAGAAAUCAUGAAAAGAGUUACAUCCAGUAGUUGACUUGCUUAUUAUUAGAGAAUCAGGAUUUAUUAAUUAUUGUAGUAGAAUGUAAUAGAUUACGCUCCGCCAUGUAGUGACCAUAAGUGUUGAAUAAUAUCUUCUUGAAGUUUAGAAUGAACUUGUUUAUCCCUUGUGCGAUUAUUGGCUUCAAUGAAUUCAAGUAAUUGUGGGGUACGCUCAUGAGACACUUCUACAGUUGGAAUCUCGUCGUGUGUAUCAUAAGUUGUUGGUUCUUGAUUUUCAUCUCGUUCAUCUUCUAUUUCCUAUGCAUGCAGUCGAUGCUCCCCAACAUCUCAAGAAAAUCACGCUUUUCAACUUUUGAUAGCAAUCUAACAAUGUCAUUACUAUUGGGGGAUUUCAGAUAUUCAUCACCAAAAAUUAAAAUGACUGCUUUUACAAACCUUUUAGACUCAAUAUAGCCGUGCUUUCACCGAUCCACACAUAAUCAUCAAUGGAAUCCGCUGAAACACCAUAGGCAAGCAUCCGCAUUGAGGCAAUUAUCUUUUGUAGAGAAGAUAAACUGAGUUGUCCUGUAGCAUUCAUUUUUUGGACGAAGUAUGAAUCAUACGCUUCAACUGCUCUUUGAAUUCGGAGGAAAAGCGGGCGCCACAUUCUAAACCUUCUCCGAAAUAGAUACGGGGGUAUGUAGGAUGCUCAACAAAAUAAUCACGAAAAAAUCGAUUAUGACCUUCAUGUCUACCACGAUCAAUGGUAAUACGACCUUGCACAGAACCACGAUGAUAUGAUGUAUGCCUAUUGACAUUUUGUUGUUCUUCUUCAAUAGCCACCUGCCUAAAAAUUGUCCAUAUGCUUCUUCAUCUUCUUCUUCAUUAAUGUGCAACAUAAUUAAUUCGAAUUGACGAGACAUAUUUAAAAUAACUUAUUUGACUGGACGAAUGAAUAUGAGUGACUAGAUGUGCCUUAUAUUUAUAGAUACUAUUUGUUUUUUAAAAUAUAGCCGUUGGAAUAUGGCCGUUGGAUUAUGUCUGUUGGAGUUUUUUUGAAUUCAUUGAUUAUUUUAAUAUUUUUAUAUUAUAGUCCACGGGAUAGUCCAUAGGAUAGUUUAUUUACUAGAAGGAUUGAAGACUAAAGGAUAGUUGCUGAUGUCAGAUGGACUAAAUAUAGUCUAGCAGAUAGUCCAUCUAUUGGAGAUGUUCUAACCCUUAUGAAGACUAGUGUUGAAUACUUUAAUUAUUCAAAACGAGGAUAUGUGAGAUCAUGGUAGCGGAUUAUGUCUCAAAAGGUUGUUUUUUGACUUUGUUUUGGUUUCGGUCACAAUUUCGGGUGAACAAGGAGCUUCAAUUUUUUUUUAAAGAUUGUAAAAUUCUAAAUAACAAGAACAAGAUAGAUUAUCCCCUCUACUGUGCUUUCUGUCUGCCAUAUAUGUAAAUAUUUUGGGCAUAUAUAUAUAGCCGUUUCCACCAAUAUGCCUCUGUUAUCAUGGUAACAGCCAAAACUUUGAACCGUGUGUGAUACACAUCUUUUUUCUUAUAAAGUUUGUAAGUCUUACUGGUUGGUAGGUACAUUUAUAAUAACUUGUCGUGUUCCCGUGCAAUGUGAGUAUUAAUGUUAAUAAUGUUAGUGGUAUGCUGUUGCCUUACCAUCUCCAAUCUUCAUCAUUUUUCUGAAUCUUUUACUUGGUCAAUGAAACACAGAAAAAGAAGGGAAUAUUCAAUAUUGUAUAAAGUAGGCACAGCUUGAUUUUUCUUACUCUUUUAACUUGUAAACUCAAACUGCUUCUAUGACAGUCGAGCUCUAUUUUGUUUUAGUGUAUAAGUUGCAGACUUGCAGUUGGUAUUAUACAUAGUUGAUCCUAUGAUGUGAAGAAGGAAAAGAAAUAGGAAAGCUUGUUAUUAUUGGUUUAUUGCUUAAAUUUUCUACCAUCCAAAUAGCCAAUGAAAGCUAAAUCCAAUGUGAUAACCUUAACUAAUUAAUUCUUCAAUUCUUCCAGUACGAGGAAUGCAUUAAAGAUUGUGACAGAGCUUUUGAAAGAGGAAGAGAACUUGGAUCAGACUAUAAGAUGGCAGCAAGGGCCUUGUCAAGAAAGGGGACUGCCUUGGUGGAGAUGGCAAAAACCUCGAAGGACUAUAAGCCUGCUAUUGAGACAUUCCAGAAAGCACAUUGUUUGAUUGCUGAAAAUGACUCUGCCCAAAAAAAAAGUAGAGAGAAAAUGACUCUGCCCAAAGAUGGAAUGAAAUAAAGACUGGUCGCUACAGUUUGUAGCAGCAGUCACCAAAUGUCAUAAAGUUAUACGCAAUUACAUAAUUGUAUAUGUUUAGGUGUAGUAUGUCAAAUCAGCAAUUUGUAAAAUAAUUUGUGUAUGUAAAAUUAUUUAAUUAAAAGACCAGGCCAAGUUAACUCAUUAUGUAUAAUACAGCUCAACUCACUUACUACACAAGCCUAGCUGCUAUUAUUCUUAUACAAAUGCAAUUAAUUUUAAUAAAUUGUUCGUUUAUUUUAAACUGUUUAGAAUCAUAAUCCACUCUUUUAACUCCAAAAUAUUUGAAAUAGGUGAAAGAAUUGCUGGCAUUUUACGGCCAGUAAUUCUUAAACUAUACUCAAGAACAACUGGGCUAUGAAAAUUGUGCUGAUAACUACUCUUUUAAGAAGAGAUAUGGGUGGGUAAAAUAUUUUAACAUACGACUUUUUAAAAAACAAUAAAAAUUAUGAGAGCAUAAGAGGUGAGACCUACCUCAAACUCUUGCAUGUGGUAUUCUUUUAUUACAAUAAUAUUUUGAAAAAUUAUAAAAUUAUUUUUUUGUACAUAACAUGAAAAAAAAUAUAUUUAAUUAUAAUAAAAUGUGGUCCCUAACCUUAACAUUCCACUCUAUUUAGAAAUUAGAAUGCUCUCCCUCCCUCAAAGGUUCAAUUUAUUUUAAUGACAACUAAAUAUAAUUUUAUUUAUUUUAUUUUUAUUUUUAUUACUCCAAUUCAAACGUAGAAUUAGAUACCUCAUACGAAUGUGGUGUAUGCUUUGAAAACGUGGUCCCUAAUCUUAACAUUCCACUCUGGCAACGGUGUAUGCUUUGAAAAUGGGCCCAUACCAAUACGUUUUAGCCUAGCUAUGUCAGCCCAUUGACGUAUUAGUAGGUUUCUACGUUUGGAUUGGGCUUAUAUUCCUGCCUUUGUGGCUAGAAAGCCCAUCCCAUGCAUGUCACACUCAAUCUAGACUAGUAAUACCAAAACCCCGAAGAUUCCAGAACCAUUAGCCACAUCAGAUCAACCUAGAACUCUCUCUGCUACUGCACACUCUUCUUUUUCCCAUAAAUUCCUCGUCCCUCUCUCUCUCUCCCCAACAACAAUUCUAGAGAGAGAAAGUAACAGAGCACAGUCCAAUCGUCCAACGAAAAGAAAGACUCGACUUUGCAGUAAACAAUGGCCGACGAAGCCAAAUCCAAAGGCAACGCCGCCUUCUCCGCCGGCAACUACACAGACGCCGUCCGCCACUUUACCGACGCAAUUAACCUCUCUCCCAACAAUCACGUCCUCUACUCCAACAGAUCCGCCGCCUACGCUUCCCUUAGCAAGUAUACCGAAGCCUUAUCAGAUGCCAAAAAGACCGUCGAGCUCAAGCCAGAUUGGUCCAAGGGCUACUCCCGGCUCGGCGCCGCGUACGUCGGCCUACACAACUACAACGACGCUGUUGAGGCAUAUAAGAAAGGCCUCGAGAUUGACCCCAACAACGAAGCCCUAAAAGCCGGCCUUUCAGAUGCACAAUCCGCCGCGGCAACCAGAUCCAAGCCUUCGAACCCGUUUGGCGAUGCGUUUGGGCCAGAGAUGUGGGUCAAGCUUACCUCCGACCCGUCAACUAGGGGUUAUAUGCAGCAGCCAGAUUUUGUUAAUAUGAUGAAGGACCUUCAGAAAAACCCUAGCAAUUUGAAUCUUUAUUUGAAGGAUCCGAGGGUUAUGCAGGCUCUUGGAGUUUUGCUUAAUAUUAAGCUUCAAGCACAUUCUCCGGAAGAUAUGGAGAUGCCUGAUGUUCAGCCGGAGAGAAAGAGGCCC